Long non-coding RNA from Agrilus planipennis (emerald ash borer), 223 nucleotides. RefSeq lists it as uncharacterized. The transcript is spliced from 3 exons. The record is from RefSeq and is a predicted model, not a curated record. NCBI's taxonomy places the organism in Eukaryota, Metazoa, Arthropoda, Insecta, Coleoptera, Buprestidae.
UUGAAAUUAUUUUAGUCUGAUUUAUUGCAUUUUUUAGUCGGAAAGUACAGCCACUAUCCGUACCCGAAAGUUUAUGACCAAUAGAUUGCUCGCAAGAAAGCAAAUGGUUGUUGAUGUCUUACACCCAGGUUUACCUUCUGUUAAAAAAACCGAAAUCAGAGAAAAAUUAGCUAAAAUGUACAAGGUGACACCUGAUGUAGUAUUUGCGUUUGGGAUAAGCACA